RNAcentral lists this ribosomal RNA (544 nucleotides) under uncultured archaeon. Its description in RNAcentral is "bacterial SSU rRNA". It matches the Rfam family "Archaeal small subunit ribosomal RNA", at positions 333 to 879 of the family's 1478-position model. The record is from RNAcentral.
CAGCAGGCGCGAAACCUUUGCAAUACACGAAAGUGUGACAGGGCUAUCCCGAGUGCCAUCCGCUGAGGAAGGCUUUUACCCAGUCUAGAACGCUGGGGGAAUAAGGAGAGGGCAAGUCUGGUGUCAGCCGCCGCGGUAAUACCAGCUCUCCGAGUGGUGUGGAUGUUUAUUGGGCCUAAAGCAUCCGUAGCUGGCUAGGUAAGUCCCUUGUUAAAUCCACCGAAUUAAUCGUUGGAUCGCGGGGGAUACUACUUGGCUAGGGGACGAGAGAGGCAGACGGUAUUUUCGGGGUAGGGGUGAAAUCCUAUAAUCCCGGGAAGACCACCAGUGACGAAGGCUGUCUGCUAGAACGCGCCCGACGGUGAGGGAUGAAAGCUGGGGGAGCGAACCGGAUUAGAUACCCGGGUAGUCCCAGCUGUAAACGAUGCAGACUAGGUGUUUGGACGGCCACGUGCCGUUCUAGUGCCGCAGGGAAGCUGUUAAGUCUGCCGCCUGGGGAGUACGAUCGCAAGAUUGAAACUUAAAGGAAUUGGCGGGGGAGCAC